UCGUGGUGUCAGCGGCGGACGGGUGAGUAACGCGUGGGAACGUGCCCUCUGGUUCGGAAUAACUCAGGGAAACUUGAGCUAAUACCGGAUACGCCCUUUUGGGGAAAGGCUUGCUGCCGGAGGAUCGGCCCGCGUCUGAUUAGCUAGUUGGUGAGGUAACGGCUCACCAAGGCGACGAUCAGUAGCUGGUCUGAGAGGAUGAUCAGCCACACUGGGACUGAGACACGGCCCAGACUCCUACGGGAGGCAGCAGUGGGGAAUAUUGGACAAUGGGCGCAAGCCUGAUCCAGCCAUGCCGCGUGAGUGAUGAAGGCCUUAGGGUUGUAAAGCUCUUUUAUCCGGGACGAUAAUGACGGUACCGGAGGAAUAAGCCCCGGCUAACUUCGUGCCAGCAGCCGCGGUAAUACGAAGGGGGCUAGCGUUGCUCGGAAUCACUGGGCGUAAAGGGCGCGUAGGCGGCGUUUUAAGUCGGGGGUGAAAGCCUGUGGCUCAACCACAGAAUGGCCUUCGAUACUGGGACGCUUGAGUAUGGUAGAGGUU
Molecule: ribosomal RNA, 540 nt
Filed under: bacterium A9 13-13
Lineage: Bacteria
Description: bacterial SSU rRNA
Rfam family: Bacterial small subunit ribosomal RNA
Source: RNAcentral